This 84-nucleotide microRNA precursor is filed under the name Bombyx mori (domestic silkworm). Its description in RNAcentral is "mir-2807 microRNA precursor family". It matches the Rfam family "mir-2807 microRNA precursor family". The record is from Rfam by way of RNAcentral. Lineage: Eukaryota; Metazoa; Arthropoda; Insecta; Lepidoptera; Bombycidae.
CUAACUCAAAUUUGUAUGAAUUCGGAACGUUUGCCUACGUUUGCCGCUAGGGGCUCUGUUCUAACUGCAUAGAAAUUUUUGUUA